UACGGAGGGUGCAAGCGUUAUCCGGAUUCACUGGGUUUAAAGGGUGCGUAGGCGGGCAGGCAAGUCAGUGGUGAAAUCUCCGAGCUUAACUUGGAAACUGCCGUUGAUACUAUCUGUCUUGAAUAUUGUGGAGGUGAGCGGAAUAUGUCAUGUAGCGGUGAAAUGCUUAGAUAUGACAUAGAACACCAAUUGCGAAGGCAGCUCGCUACACAUAUAUUGACGCUGAGGCACGAAAGCGUGGGGAUCAAACAGG
This 253-nucleotide ribosomal RNA is filed under the name uncultured bacterium. Its description in RNAcentral is "partial 16S ribosomal RNA". It matches the Rfam family "Bacterial small subunit ribosomal RNA", at positions 524 to 776 of the family's 1533-position model. The record is from RNAcentral.